CACCGGCAGCUCAAGUGGUGGCCGUUUUUAUUGGGCCUAAAGCGUUCGUAGCCGGCUUGAUAAGUCUCUGGUGAGAUCCCACAGCUUAACUGUGGGAAUUGCUGGAGAUACUAUCAGGCUUGAGGCCGGGAGAGGCUGGAGGUACUCCCAGGGUAGGGGUGAAAUCCUAUAAUCCUGGGAGGACCACCUGUGGCGAAGGCGUCCAGCUGGAACGGACCUGACGGUGAGUAACGAAAGCUAGGGUAGCGAACGGG
RNAcentral lists this ribosomal RNA (254 nucleotides) under uncultured bacterium. Its description in RNAcentral is "partial 16S ribosomal RNA". It matches the Rfam family "Archaeal small subunit ribosomal RNA", at positions 474 to 727 of the family's 1478-position model. The record is from RNAcentral.